GCACGGAGUUAGCCGAUCCUUAUUCUUACCGUACAUUCAGCUUCCUACACGUAGAAAGGUUUAUUCCGGUAUAAAAGCAGUUUACAACCCAUAGGGCCGUCUUCCUGCACGCGGCAUGGCUGGUUCAGACUUCCGUCCAUUGACCAAUAUUCCUUA
This 156-nucleotide ribosomal RNA is filed under the name uncultured bacterium. RNAcentral describes it as "partial 16S ribosomal RNA". The record is from RNAcentral.